Molecule: ribosomal RNA, 205 nt
Filed under: uncultured bacterium
Lineage: Bacteria
Description: partial 16S ribosomal RNA
Rfam family: Bacterial small subunit ribosomal RNA
Source: RNAcentral
UCAGUUCGGACUGGGGUCUGNAACCCGACCCCACGAAGCUGGAUUCGCUAGUAAUCGCGCAUCAGCCAUGGCGCGGUGAAUACGUUCCCGGGCCUUGUACACACCGCCCGUCAAGCCAUGAAAGCCGGGGGCGCCUGAAGUCCGUGACCGCGAGGGUCGGCCUAGGGUGAAACCGGUGAUUGGGGCUAAGUCGUAACAAGGUAAC